RNAcentral lists this non-coding RNA (26 nucleotides) under Mus musculus (house mouse). The record is from RNAcentral. Lineage: Eukaryota; Metazoa; Chordata; Mammalia; Rodentia; Muridae.
UGCAACUAAAGGGGUGCACCACUAUA